RNAcentral lists this small RNA (85 nucleotides) under Chryseobacterium soldanellicola. RNAcentral describes it as "Flavo-1 RNA". The record is from RNAcentral. Lineage: Bacteria; Pseudomonadati; Bacteroidota; Flavobacteriia; Flavobacteriales; Weeksellaceae.
ACGCAGCCCGGCUUGAGCGGAAAUCCUUUUUGUGAAUUGGCAAAAGCUUUGGCCAAAAAGAUUGGGAGCGGAAGACGGAGAUUGC